This 642-nucleotide ribosomal RNA is filed under the name uncultured bacterium. RNAcentral describes it as "bacterial SSU rRNA". The stretch from base 1 to 540 matches the Rfam family "Bacterial small subunit ribosomal RNA", at positions 338 to 873 of the family's 1533-position model. The record is from RNAcentral.
CCUACGGGAGGCAGCAGUAAGGAAUAUUGGUCAAUGGACGAAAGUCUGAACCAGCCAUGCCGCGUGAAGGAUGAAGGUCCUCUGGAUUGUAAACUUCUUUUAUCUGGGACGAAAAAAGGGCUUUCUAGCUCACUUGACGGUACCAGAGGAAUAAGCACCGGCUAACUCCGUGCCAGCAGCCGCGGUAAUACGGAGGGUGCAAGCGUUAUCCGGAUUUACUGGGUUUAAAGGGAGCGUAGGUGGGCAGGUAAGUCAGUGGUGAAAUCUCUGGGCUUAACCCGGAAACUGCCAUUGAUACUAUCUGUCUUGAAUAUCCUGGAGGUAAGCGGAAUAUGUCAUGUAGCGGUGAAAUGCUUAGAUAUGACAUAGAACACCCAUUGCGAAGGCAGCUUACUACGGGAUUAUUGACACUGAGGCUCGAAAGCGUGGGGAUCAAACAGGAUUAGAUACCCUGGUAGUCCACGCCCUAAACGAUGGAUACUCGACAUCAGCGAUACACUGUUGGUGUNUGUAGACGAAGACGAGUAAGUAGUACCGACCGUACGGAAGGUAACGGUACCGACGAAGUUAGUAAACGUUACGUUAAAGUAAGUUAAGUUAGACGGCGUUGAGACGAGCGACGGACGACGACGAGGGAGGAGG